GAUGAACGCUGGCGGCGUGCCUAAUACAUGCAAGUCGAGCGAACAGAAGAGGAGCUUGCUCCUCUGACGUUAACGGCGGACGGGUGAGUAACCCGUGGAUAACCCAACUUUUAGACUGGGAUAACUUCGGGAAACCGGAGCCAAUUCCGGGAAAUAUAUUGAACCGCAAUGUUCAAUAGUGAAAGACGGGUUUGCUGUCACUUAUUGAUGGAUCCGCGCCGCAUUUGCCAGUUGGUAAGGUAACGGCUUACCAAGGCAACGAUGCGUAGCCGACCUGAGAGGGUGAUCGGCCACACUGGAACUGAGACACGGUCCAGACUCCUACGGGAGGCAGCAGUAGGGAAUCUUCCGCAAUGGGCGAAAGCCUGACGGAGCAACGCCGCGUGAGUGAUGAAGGUCUUCGGAUCGUAAAACUCUGUUAUUAGGGAAGAACAAAUGUGUAAGUAACUAUGCACGUCUUGACGGUACCUAAUCAGAAAGCCACGGCUAACUACGUG
This 497-nucleotide ribosomal RNA is filed under the name uncultured bacterium. RNAcentral describes it as "partial 16S ribosomal RNA". It matches the Rfam family "Bacterial small subunit ribosomal RNA", at positions 28 to 507 of the family's 1533-position model. The record is from RNAcentral.